Long non-coding RNA from Malaclemys terrapin pileata, 9237 nucleotides. RefSeq lists it as uncharacterized. The transcript has 7 exons. The record is from RefSeq and is a predicted model, not a curated record. Lineage: Eukaryota; Metazoa; Chordata; Testudines; Emydidae.
UUGCCUGGAAUUCUGCAGCCAAGUCUCCUGCUUUCUACUCACUUUUUGGACUCUUGGAGAUCUGACAUGCUACUGGUGACAUCAUGAAGCACAAGUGGAGAAGAAGGAAGUGUCAGGAAUGCCACACACAGAGGAGAAAAGAAGAUGGAGGAAAAGGAAAGGAACUCUGGGCACAGUAACCAACCUCAAAUCAGGCCUCAGGUCAUGUAAUUAGACUGUAGGGGAAUCUCGAGCCUCUUAAUACCUUGAGCAGAGUGACCGCCCUGUAAGCUGGGUCCCGGUCUGUGCUAUUGUGUCGUUUUGACAUUCUGCUCCGAUAUCUGGCUAUUGAGGGUGACUGCCCUGUAAUCAGGGUGUAAGUCACUUCCCUCUGUCUUUGGAGGGGCAUUGAGCUUUUUGUUAAACUGAGCAAUGUGACCGCCCUGUAUCUGGGGUCCGGGUCUCUGCCCUCUUGCUCAUUUGGCUUUACGCCGUGCUCUGCCCCAUUAGUCAGCGUGACAACCCUGUAAUUAGGGUCUAUGUCACAAGCCUCUCUAGGAUGGGACAUAUUGAGCUCUUUGGUACUUUGACAGCUUGACCUUCCUGUAAUUCAGGUUAUGGUCUCCCCUAUUUGGCUAAUGCCAGCGACCACCCUGUAAUCAGGGUACAGGUUGCACCUCGCUUUUGAAAUCUGGGGGAUUAGAAUCAUGACCAUAACAUGGGCAGCUUGACCUCCCUGUAACUAGGGUUUGCGUCUCCGAGGCCCUUUGGGUCUCCGUUAUAGAGUUGGUGAAUGUGACUGCCCUGUAAUCAGGGUGCAAGUCACCUCCCCCUGUCUUUGGAGGGGCAUUGAGCUCUUUGUUCAACUGAGCAAUGUGACCGCCCUGUAACUGGGGUCUGGGUCUCUGCCCUCUUGCUCAUUUGGCUUUACGCCGUGCUCUGCCCCAUUAGUCAGCGUGACAACCCUGUAAUUAGGGUCUAUGUCACAAGCCUCUCUAGGAUGGGACAUAUUGAGCUCUUUGGUACUUUGACAGCUUGACCUUCCUGUAAUUCAGGUUAUGGUCUCUCCUCUUUGGCUAAUGCCAGUGACCACCCUGUAAUCAGGGUACAGGUUGCAUCUCGCUUUUGAAAUCUGGGGGAUUAGAAUCAUGACCAUAACAUGGGCAGCUUGACCUCCCUGUAACUAGGGUGUGCGUCUCCGAGGCCCUCUGGGUCUCUUGGCCUCGUGCUGUCUUCACAGCCUGCUGCCAACGACCGCCCUGUAAUCAGGGAUCUGGUCUUUGCCCUCUAGUCUCUUGGCACUUGGCCAAAUGCAGCCACUGCCCUGAAUGAGCACCCUGUAAACAGGGUACAGGUCUCAUCUGCUACUAUUUAUGGCACCCCCAUGACACUGUGUCCAGAGUUCCGGCCCUUCAAACAGCGCUUCCAACUUGCCUGGAAUUCUGCAGCCAAGUCUCCUGCUUUCUACUCACUUUUUGGACUCUCGGAGAUCUGACAUGCUACUGGUGACAUCAUGAAGCACAAGUGGAGAAGAAGGAAGUGUCAGGAAUGCCACACACAGAGGAGAAAAGAAGAUGGAGGAAAAGGAAAGGAACUCUGGGCACAGUAACCAACCUCAAAUCAGGCCUCAGGUCAUGUAAUUAGACUGUAGGGGAAUCUCGAGCCUCUUAAUACCUUGAGCAGCGUGACCGCCCUGUAAGCUGGGUCCCGGUCUGUGCUAUUGUGUCGUUUUGACAUUCUGCUCCGAUAUCUGGCUAUUGAGGGUGACUGCCCUGUAAUCAGGGUGUAAGUCACUUCCCUCUGUCUUUGGAGGGGCAUUGAGCUUUUUGUUAAACUGAGCAAUGUGACCGCCCUGUAUCUGGGGUCCGGGUCUCUGCCCACUUGCUCAUUUGGCUUUACGCCGUGCUCUGCCCCAUUAGUCAGCGUGACAACCCUGUAAUUAGGGUCUAUGUCACAAGCCUCUCUAGGAUGGGACAUAUUGAGCUCUUUGGUACUUUGACAGCUUGACCUUCCUGUAAUUCAGGUUAUGGUCUCCCCUAUUUGGCUAAUGCCAGCGACCACCCUGUAAUCAGGGUACAGGUUGCACCUCGCUUUUGAAAUCUGGGGGAUUAGAAUCAUGACCAUAACAUGGGCAGCUUGACCUCCCUGUAACUAGGGUUUGCGUCUCCGAGGCCCUUUGGGUCUCCGUUAUAGAGUUGGUGAAUGUGACUGCCCUGUAAUCAGGGUGCAAGUCACCUCCCCCUGUCUUUGGAGGGGCAUUGAGCUCUUUGUUCAACUGAGCAAUGUGACCGCCCUGUAACUGGGGUCUGGGUCUCUGCCCUCUUGCUCAUUUGGCUUUACGCCGUGCUCUGCCCCAUUAGUCAGUGUGACAACCCUGUAAUUAGGGUCCAUGUCACAAGCCUCUCUACCAUGGGACAUAUUGAGCUCUUUGGUACUUUGACAGCUUGACCUUCCUGUAAUUCAGGUUAUGGUCUCUCCUCUUUGGCUAAUGCCAGUGACCACCCUGUAAUCAGGGUACAGGUUGCAUCUCGCUUUUGAAAUCUGGGGGAUUAGAAUCAUGACCAUAACAUGGGCAGCUUGACCUCCCUGUAACUAGGGUGUGCGUCUCCGAGGCCCUCUGGGUCUCUUGGCCUCGUGCUGUCUUCACAGCCUGCUGCCAACGACCGCCCUGUAAUCAGGGAUCUGGUCUUUGCCCUCUAGUCUCUUGGCACUUGGCCAAAUGCAGCCACUGCCCUGAAUGAGCACCCUGUAAACAGGGUACAGGUCUCAUCUGCUACUAUUUAUGGCACCCCCAUGACACUGUGUCCAGAGUUCCGGCCCUUCAAACAGCGCUUCCAACUUGCCUGGAAUUCUGCAACCAAGUCUCCUGCUUUCUACUCACUUUUUGGACUCUCGGAGAUCUGACAUGCUACUGGUGACAUCAUGAAGCACAAGUGGAGAAGAAGGAAGUGUCAGGAAUGCCACACACAGAGGAGAAAAGAAGAUGGAGGAAAAGGAAAGGAACUCUGGGCACAGUAACCAACCUCAAAUCAGGCCUCAGGUCAUGUAAUUAGACUGUAGGGGAAUCUCGAGCCUCUUAAUACCUUGAGCAGCGUGACCGCCCUGUAAGCUGGGUCCCGGUCUGUGCUAUUGUGUCGUUUUGACAUUCUGCUCCGAUAUCUGGCUAUUGAGGGUGACUGCCCUGUAAUCAGGGUGUAAGUCACUUCCCUCUGUCUUUGGAGGGGCAUUGAGCUCUUUGUUAAACUGAGCAAUGUGACCGCCCUGUAUCUGGGGUCCGGGUCUCUGCCCUCUUGCUCAUUUGGCUUUACGCCGUGCUCUGCCCCAUUAGUCAGCGUGACAACCCUGUAAUUAGGGUCUAUGUCACAAGCCUCUCUAGGAUGGGACAUAUUGAGCUCUUUGGUACUUUGACAGCUUGACCUUCCUGUAAUUCAGGUUAUGGUCUCCCCUAUUUGGCUAAUGCCAGCGACCACCCUGUAAUCAGGGUACAGGUUGCACCUCGCUUUUGAAAUCUGGGGGAUUAGAAUCAUGACCAUAACAUGGGCAGCUUGACCUCCCUGUAACUAGGGUGUGCGUCUCCGAGGCCCUCUGGGUCUCUUGGCCUCGUGCUGUCUUCACAGCCUGCUGCCAACGACCGCCCUGUAAUCAGGGAUCUGGUCUUUGCCCUCUAGUCUCUUGGCACUUGGCCAAAUGCAGCCACUGCCCUGAAUGAGCACCCUGUAAACAGGGUACAGGUCUCAUCUGCUACUAUUUAUGGCACCCCCAUGACACUGUGUCCAGAGUUCCGGCCCUUCAAACAGCGCUUCCAACUUGCCUGGAAUUCUGCAGCCAAGUCUCCUGCUUUCUACUCACUUUUUGGACUCUUGGAGAUCUGACAUGCUACUGGUGACAUCAUGAAGCACAAGUGGAGAAGAAGGAAGUGUCAGGAAUGCCACACACAGAGGAGAAAAGAAGAUGGAGGAAAAGGAAAGGAACUCUGGGCACAGUAACCAACCUCAAAUCAGGCCUCAGGUCAUGUAAUUAGACUGUAGGGGAAUCUCGAGCCUCUUAAUACCUUGAGCAGCGUGACCGCCCUGUAAGCUGGGUCCCGGUCUGUGCUAUUGUGUCGUUUUGACAUUCUGCUCCGAUAUCUGGCUAUUGAGGGUGACUGCCCUGUAAUCAGGGUGUAAGUCACUUCCCUCUGUCUUUGGAGGGGCAUUGAGCUCUUUGUUAAACUGAGCAAUGUGACCGCCCUGUAUCUGGGGUCCGGGUCUCUGCCCUCUUGCUCAUUUGGCUUUACGCCGUGCUCUGCCCCAUUAGUCAGCGUGACAACCCUGUAAUUAGGGUCUAUGUCACAAGCCUCUCUAGGAUGGGACAUAUUGAGCUCUUUGGUACUUUGACAGCUUGACCUUCCUGUAAUUCAGGUUAUGGUCUCCCCUAUUUGGCUAAUGCCAGCGACCACCCUGUAAUCAGGGUACAGGUUGCACCUCGCUUUUGAAAUCUGGGGGAUUAGAAUCAUGACCAUAACAUGGGCAGCUUGACCUCCCUGUAACUAGGGUUUGCGUCUCCAAGGCCCUUUGGGUCUCCGUUAUAGAGUUGGUGAAUGUGACUGCCCUGUAAUCAGGGUGCAAGUCACCUCCCCCUGUCUUUGGAGGGGCAUUGAGCUCUUUGUUCAACUGAGCAAUGUGACCGCCCUGUAACUGGGGUCUGGGUCUCUGCCCUCUUGCUCAUUUGGCUUUACGCCGUGCUCUGCCCCAUUAGUCAGCGUGACAACCCUGUAAUUAGGGUCCAUGUCACAAGCCUCUCUAGCAUGGGACAUAUUGAGCUCUUUGGUACUUUGACAGCUUGACCUUCCUGUAAUUCAGGUUAUGGUCUCUCCUCCUUGGCUAAUGCCAGCGACCACCCUGUAAUCAGGGUACAGGUUGCAUCUCGCUUUUGAAAUCUGGGGGAUUAGAAUCAUGACCAUAACAUGGGCAGCUUGACCUCUCUGUAACUAGGGUGUGCGUCUCCGAGGCCCUCUGGGUCUCUUGGCCUCGUGCUGUCUUCACAGCCUGCUGCCAACGACCGCCCUGUAAUCAGGGAUCUGGUCUUUGCCCUCUAGUCUCUUGGCACUUGGCCAAAUGCAGCCACUGCCCUGAAUGAGCACCCUGUAAACAGGGUACAGGUCUCAUCUGCUACUAUUUAUGGCACCCCCAUGACACUGUGUCCAGAGUUCCGGCCCUUCAAACAGCGCUUCCAACUUGCCUGGAAUUCUGCAACCAAGUCUCCUGCUUUCUACUCACUUUUUGGACUCUCGGAGAUCUGACAUGCUACUGGUGACAUCAUGAAGCACAAGUGGAGAAGAAGGAAGUGUCAGGAAUGCCACACACAGAGGAGAAAAGAAGAUGGAGGAAAAGGAAAGGAACUCUGGGCACAGUAACCAACCUCAAAUCAGGCCUCAGGUCAUGUAAUUAGACUGUAGGGGAAUCUCGAGCCUCUUAAUACCUUGAGCAGCGUGACCGCCCUGUAAGCUGGGUCCCGGUCUGUGCUAUUGUGUCGUUUUGACAUUCUGCUCCGAUAUCUGGCUAUUGAGGGUGACUGCCCUGUAAUCAGGGUGUAAGUCACUUCCCUCUGUCUUUGGAGGGGCAUUGAGCUCUUUGUUAAACUGAGCAAUGUGACCGCCCUGUAUCUGGGGUCCGGGUCUCUGCCCUCUUGCUCAUUUGGCUUUACGCCGUGCUCUGCCCCAUUAGUCAGCGUGACAACCCUGUAAUUAGGGUCUAUGUCACAAGCCUCUCUAGGAUGGGACAUAUUGAGCUCUUUGGUACUUUGACAGCUUGACCUUCCUGUAAUUCAGGUUAUGGUCUCCCCUAUUUGGCUAAUGCCAGCGACCACCCUGUAAUCAGGGUACAGGUUGCACCUCGCUUUUGAAAUCUGGGGGAUUAGAAUCAUGACCAUAACAUGGGCAGCUUGACCUCCCUGUAACUAGGGUGUGCGUCUCCGAGGCCCUCUGGGUCUCUUGGCCUCGUGCUGUCUUCACAGCCUGCUGCCAACGACCGCCCUGUAAUCAGGGAUCUGGUCUUUGCCCUCUAGUCUCUUGGCACUUGGCCAAAUGCAGCCACUGCCCUGAAUGAGCACCCUGUAAACAGGGUACAGGUCUCAUCUGCUACUAUUUAUGGCACCCCCAUGACACUGUGUCCAGAGUUCCGGCCCUUCAAACAGCGCUUCCAACUUGCCUGGAAUUCUGCAACCAAGUCUCCUGCUUUCUACUCACUUUUUGGACUCUCGGAGAUCUGACAUGCUACUGGUGACAUCAUGAAGCACAAGUGGAGAAGAAGGAAGUGUCAGGAAUGCCACACACAGAGGAGAAAAGAAGAUGGAGGAAAAGGAAAGGAACUCUGGGCACAGUAACCAACCUCAAAUCAGGCCUCAGGUCAUGUAAUUAGACUGUAGGGGAAUCUCGAGCCUCUUAAUACCUUGAGCAGCGUGACCGCCCUGUAAGCUGGGUCCCGGUCUGUGCUAUUGUGUCGUUUUGACAUUCUGCUCCGAUAUCUGGCUAUUGAGGGUGACUGCCCUGUAAUCAGGGUGUAAGUCACUUCCCUCUGUCUUUGGAGGGGCAUUGAGCUCUUUGUUAAACUGAGCAAUGUGACCGCCCUGUAUCUGGGGUCCGGGUCUCUGCCCUCUUGCUCAUUUGGCUUUACGCCGUGCUCUGCCCCAUUAGUCAGCGUGACAACCCUGUAAUUAGGGUCUAUGUCACAAGCCUCUCUAGGAUGGGACAUAUUGAGCUCUUUGGUACUUUGACAGCUUGACCUUCCUGUAAUUCAGGUUAUGGUCUCCCCUAUUUGGCUAAUGCCAGCGACCACCCUGUAAUCAGGGUACAGGUUGCACCUCGCUUUUGAAAUCUGGGGGAUUAGAAUCAUGACCAUAACAUGGGCAGCUUGACCUCCCUGUAACUAGGGUUUGCGUCUCCGUUAUAGAGUUGGUGAAUGUGACUGCCCUGUAAUCAGGGUGCAAGUCAACUCCCCGUGUCUUUGGAGGGGCAUUGAGCUCUUUGUUAAACUGAGCAAUGUGACCGCCCUGUAACUGGGGUCUGGGUCUCUGCCCUCUUGCUCAUUUGGCUUUACGCCGUGCUCUGCCCCAUUAGUCAGCGUGACAACCCUGUAAUUAGGGUCCAUGUCACAAGCCUCUCUAGGAUGGGACAUAUCGAGCUCUUUGGUACUUUGACAGCUUGACCUUCCUGUAAUUCAGGUUAUGGUCUCCCCUAUUUGGCUAAUGCCAGCGACCACCCUGUAAUCAGGGUACAGGUUGCACCUCGCUUUUGAAAUCUGGGGGAUUAGAAUCAUGACCAUAACAUGGGCAGCUUGACCUCCCUGUAACUAGGGUUUGCGUCUCCGAGGCCCUUUGGGUCUCCGUUAUAGAGUUGGUGAAUGUGACUGCCCUGUAAUCAGGGUGCAAGUCACCUCCCCGUGUCUUUGGAGGGGCAUUGAGCUCUUUGUUAAACUGAGCAAUGUGACCGCCCUGUAACUGGGGUCUGGAUCUCUGCCCUCUUGCUCAUUUGGCUUUACGCCGUGCUCUGCCCCAUUAGUCAGCGUGACAACCCUGUAAUUAGGGUCCAUGUCACAAGCCUCUCUAGGAUGGGACAUAUCGAGCUCUUUGGUACUUUGACAGCUUGACCUUCCUGUAAUUCAGGUUAUGGUCUCUCCUCUUUGGCUAAUGCCAGCGACCACCCUGUAGUCAGGGUACAGGUUGCAUCUCGCUUUUGAAAUCUGGGGGAUUAGAAUCAUGACCAUAACAUGGGCAGCUUGACCUCCCUGUAACUAGGGUGUGCGUCUCCGAGGCCCUCUGGGUCUCUUGGCCUCGUGCUGUCUUCACAGCCUGCUGCCAACAACCGCCCUGUAAUCAGGGAUCUGGUCUUUGCCCUCUAGUCUCUUGGCACUUGGCCAAAUGCAGCCACUGCUCUGAAUGAGCACCCUGUCAACAGCGUACAGGUCUCAUCUGCUACUAUUUCUGGCGCCCCCAUGAGACUGUGUCAAGGGUUCCGGCCCUUCCAACAGCGCUUCCAACUUGCCUGGAAUUCUGCAGCCAAGUCUCCUGCUUUCUACUCACUUCUUGGACUCUUGGAGACCUGACAUGCUAUUGGUGGUAAGAUCCGAAAGGGAGUGUCCGGGGCGGUUUUGGACCGUUGUCGAAAGCGGUUCUCAUUUACACACUCCUUGUGCUCCCUCUCUCUGAUUCAGGCAUCAUGAAGCAGAAGUGGAGAAGAAGGAAGUGUCAGUACCAUGGUAUAACUGUGAAUCUGAAAUGCAUGGACCUUAAACACUCAAGUUGUAUAGAAUUAUAACUUCCUAUUAUUAAGAAAUCAUCAUUUCCUACUGGAAGUGCAAAGAUGUCACUUAAGGGAAGGUAUACAUUUGAAUCCUCCCCUCCCCUCCAAUUCUCCCCCCAAAACUCUUCAAAUAAAGUUAAGGUUCAGAAAAUUAACAUUUACUCCAGGUAACGCCUAACUUGUGUAUUUCUCACACAUUUCUCAAAGGAAGCAAACAAAACUAAAUGUUUUGGCAACUGGCAGUUACUCUCCGCACUUCACAACUUUCAAACACCUGCUCUACUUAAACGGUCACACCAACCAAAGUGUACCACACAUUCAAAAUUAACUUUGCAUCUAUUGUGUCAGAAGUGAGAGUGUUUUUAGUAGUUGUGUCCAUUGGUGGAAGUGGCAGUUGUGGUGUUUUAGUAGUCCUUUACGCUUAUUGAAUUCAAAGGAUGAUGAUGUGGAUGUUUUAGGUAGGUAUUUUUCUGUUAAGUCUUGGUAUUUGGGUGGAGGUGCAGUAUUUUGUGAUUAUGACUGUUUUUCUGGUAUUGGUUUAGUGUGAAUUGUUGGCAAUUCUAGAUGUUUUUGUAUCCGUACAUUAGUAGAUGUAUUUAGAGGGCAAAGCUGAGGUUGCCUGUUUGGUGCAAUUUAAUUGGUGUGAAAGUUAAUUUCGGGUAGGUGUUUGAAAGCACUGAGGUUUGAAUUUUUAGCUCAACAAGGAUGCAGGACCCACCUGGCUACCUCAGUUCUUACUGUCAUUCCUAAUUCCAAAAUCUUGGAUGAAGAUGACCAGGCAGAAUAAAGAUAUCUCCAGAGACUUUCAAGAGGGUAGCAUUUCUGCAGCUUUAGGGGAUUCCUUAAACCUUAUUGAGCUUUUCAAAGUGUAAUAAUUGUGGGAAACUUCUACUUCUGCCAAUUCCGUGUUGAACAAUGACCUGUAUUAAAGGACUUACACUGGGUAGUUAAUUCUGUUCUGUAUUAAGAUGAUUUUGCUA